RNAcentral lists this long non-coding RNA (1699 nucleotides) under Homo sapiens (human). RNAcentral describes it as "HSALNT0094595". The record is from RNAcentral. Lineage: Eukaryota; Metazoa; Chordata; Mammalia; Primates; Hominidae.
CGCAGGCUCCCAGCCGAGUCCGUUAUGGCCGCUGCCGUCCCGAAGAGGAUGAGGGGGCCAGCACAAGCGAAACUGCUGCCCGGGUCGGCCAUCCAAGCCCUUGUGGGGUUGGCGCGGCCGCUGGUCUUGGCGCUCCUGCUUGUGUCCGCCGCUCUAUCCAGUGGUAAAGGGGGGCGGCAGUGUGGGCUUAGGAAGGCUAGGAGGGCUCGGGCGCAGGGCAGGAGACAGGCCGGGCCAGGGAAAGGGCGCUUCCAAGUGUCAGGAGCAGACGGCGGUGUCUGGUUGGGUCAGGGUCUCCGCGGGCCUGAGGACGGAGGGUAUGGUGUCUGAAGGGGUCCAAGGUGGUAGGGUCUCCAAGGGGCCUGAGAAGCGGGGUCCCUGAGAGAUGCAGGAACCCAGGGAGCAGGCAGCAGGGUGUGUAGAUGGGCGGGGAGGGAGGAGUGGUGUUAGCGCCUAGAGAUCGUUGAAGAAUGGGCUGCCGCAAGGAAUGGCGGUGGUGGGGUCUCCAAAAUUUCUUGGAUCGGAAAGUUAGGAGACUCUGGAAGAGAGGGUGGCGACAGGGGCUGAGGAGGUGGCCGGGGCUGGGGGUGUGGUGUCUGGAAAGGGUCCUGAGUUUGGGGGACUCAGGAAUCUUGCAGGACCAAGGAAAGGUGGGGGUUUUCCAGAAUGGGAGAGGUCAGUGGUAAAGACCGAGGCGGGCAGGGGCAGUAAUCCAGUGACUGGACUGAACCAAUGGAAUAUUUCCGAGAGGGAAAGUGAAAGGGAAAGAGCUGUCUUAGGGUACUGGUGCAUAUUUGAAGACUGGGAGGUUCUGGUGUUUGAUAAAGAUUCAGAGUACUGGGGCGUUGGGCCCCUGAAGGCUUGGGAGGCAGAGAGGAGUUUGGAGACAAGGGAGAUCAUGAUUCCUCUUCCCUGUGUUCCGAGUUAACCAGGAUAACCCUGCCUCGUUUUAAUGCAUCUGUAGGAUUUGAUUGAUAAAAUAUUUCAUUUCUUGCAAAUGUUGCAUGGUGAAAUCAAGAGAUUGAAGGCUUUUAUUGAGAAAUUAGGAAAUCUGUAAACCAGUGCCUGAUACUUGGUGGGAAAAAUCCACUAUUAAGAACUUGUAAGGAUUAAACGGUAUUUUGUUUAGUAGUCCCAUUUUUCUUUCAGGCCAAGACACAGUCCUGCGUUUCUCCCUAAAUUUGAAUUUUCAGCUGCAAAACAGUGUGACCUGUUGUAUCACGGACUGAUUCACCGAGCCCAACCGUACUCAACUCACAUAUUUCUACCCCAAAUGUGAAUGCUUUAACACAUGAAAACCAAACCAAACCUUCUAUUUCCCAAAUCAGCACCACCCUCCCUCCCACGACGAGUACCAAGAAAAGUGGAGGAGCAUCUGUGGUCCCUCAUCCCUCGCCUACUCCUCUGUCUCAAGAGGAAGCUGAUAACAAUGAAGAUCCUAGUAUAGAGGAGGAGGAUCUUCUCAUGCUGAACAGUUCUCCAUCCACAGCCAAAGACACUCUAGACAAUGGCGAUUAUGGAGAACCAGACUAUGACUGGACCACGGGCCCCAGGGACGACGACGAGUCUGAUGACACCUUGGAAGAAAACAGGGGUUACAUGGAAAUUGAACAGUCAGUGAAAUCUUUUAAGAUGCCAUCCUCAAAUAUAGAAGAGGAAGACAGCCAUUUCUUUUUUCAUCUUAUUAUUUUUGCUUUUU